AUUGAACGCUAGCGGGAUGCCUUACACAUGCAAGUCGAACGGAGUGGCGAACGGGUGAGUAAUGUAUCGGAACGUGCCCAGUAGCGGGGGAUAACUCCCCGAAAGCGUCGCUAAUACCGCAUACUAUUGGAGCGGCCGAUCUCGGAUUAGCUAGUUGGUGGGGUAACGGCGCACCAAGGCGACGAUCCGUAGCUGGUUUGAGAGGACGACCAGCCACACUGGGACGGAGACACGGCCCAGACUCCUACGGGAGGCAGCAGUGGGGAAUUUUGGACAAUGGGGGAAACCCUGAUCCAGCCAUCCCGCGUGUUCGAUGAAGGCCUUCGGGUUGUAAAGCACUUUUGGCAGAAAAGCGGUAUCUGCAGAAUAAGCACCGGCUAACUACGUGCCAGCCGCCGCGGUAAUUC
This 407-nucleotide ribosomal RNA is filed under the name uncultured bacterium. Its description in RNAcentral is "partial 16S ribosomal RNA". It matches the Rfam family "Bacterial small subunit ribosomal RNA", at positions 30 to 526 of the family's 1533-position model. The record is from RNAcentral.